Molecule: long non-coding RNA, 939 nt
Organism: Tupaia belangeri chinensis (Chinese tree shrew)
Lineage: Eukaryota; Metazoa; Chordata; Mammalia; Scandentia; Tupaiidae
Exons: 3
Source: RefSeq, a predicted model, not a curated record
CAGAGAGGCUUGGGGUCACCCACUGGGCUCUGGGCGAGUUCUCAGACCGGUUUCUGGUAUUUGCCAAUCAACGGGUUGCCCUGGGCCAGCGAGAAAUUCAGAGAGAACUAUCCUUAACUUGGAAAAGGGAGCAGACGGAGCCUAGGCCUCCCUGGAGAAGAAGGCAGGCAAGGGGGAGGAGAGAAGAUGGAGAGAAAGUGGGGAGAGGGCGAGAGUAGGAGAGGAAAGAGCCUGAUGGAAACCACCUAGGACAGCCUGGAGUCAGAGGUGACAUCCUCUCUGCCCAGGGAGGACGUGGACACAGGCCCGUCCUUGCCCUGUGAUUUCACUGGGCUGAGACAUCUGAGGUCACUGCCAGCUCUGCUCUCCCCGUGUCUGUGAGCACUUCCACAGCCAGGGCCGAGGCCCAGGCCCCCAAGGGCACGGAGGCCGGCUGAACCAGACCACUCAGAAAGAGAAACCCACGUCUGGGCCUGACGGGGGCAUUGUGGAAGGAUGCGCCAGGGAGCAAGAGCAGCUGACCUUAGGGUCCCUUCUUCGUCUCAAAGUCUGAGACCUCCGUUCUGCCACACACAGCAGUCUCUCGCUGCUCUGCCAUGAGGGAAAGGACGCACAUCCGGCAGGGGGGUCCUCUCGGCACUCCUCAAGCCCUUUUGGACAACCCAGAGUAUACAGGAGAUGGCCACAUGGAGGGAACCCACCUCCCCACACCUGAGCCCACGAGACUGCCAGUGUGCUCCUCAUGGCACAGAUGAAGACAAGGAAACGCAGAGAAAUCGCUAUCUGCUUCCAGAUGGCCCAGCUCAUCGACAGACUGUGCUGAGAGCCUAGUGGAAUGCCCAGUCCUACAGUCUUCAACCUACUACGUUCAUUCUUCAUCAUAGGUUGAGUUUCAACUUAAAAAUAUAUAUGAUGGGGGGGGAAAGGUGGCAUGGUGGU